This 340-nucleotide ribosomal RNA is filed under the name uncultured bacterium. RNAcentral's name for it is "partial 16S ribosomal RNA". It matches the Rfam family "Bacterial small subunit ribosomal RNA", at positions 330 to 684 of the family's 1533-position model. The record is from RNAcentral.
UCCAGACUCCUACGGGAGGCAGCAGUGGGGAAUAUUGGGCAAUGGGCGCAAGCCUGACCCAGCAACGCCGCGUGAAGGAAGAAGGCUUUCGGGUUGUAAACUUCUUUUCUCAGGGACGAAGAAAGUGACGGUACCUGAGGAAUAAGCCACGGCUAACUACGUGCCAGCAGCCGCGGUAAUACGUAGGUGGCACGCGUUAUCCGGAUUUACUGGGUGUAAAGGGCGUGUAGGCGGGACUGCAAGUCAGAUGUGUAACACAUGGGCGCACCACAUGGCCUGCAUUUGAAAAUGUAGUUCUUGAGUGAUGGAGAGGCAGGCGGAAUUCCGUGUGUAGCGGUGA